CAGUCGCCGCGGGAAUACAGAGGGUGCGAGCGUUAAUCGGAUUUACUGGGCGUAAAGCGUGCGUAGGCGGCUUUUUAAGUCGGAUGUGAAAUCCCUGAGCUUAACUUAGGAAUUGCAUUCGAUACUGGGAAACUAGAGUAUGGGAGAGGAUGGUAGAAUUCCAGGUGUAGCGGUGAAAUGCGUAGAGAUCUGGAGGAAUACCGAUGGCGAAGGCAGCCAUCUGGCCUAAUACUGACGCUGAGGUACGAAAGCAUGGGGAGCAAACAGGAUUAGAUACCCCAGUAGUCCCUGUCUCUUAUAC
RNAcentral lists this ribosomal RNA (301 nucleotides) under uncultured bacterium. Its description in RNAcentral is "partial 16S ribosomal RNA". It matches the Rfam family "Bacterial small subunit ribosomal RNA", at positions 509 to 807 of the family's 1533-position model. The record is from RNAcentral.